UCCACAGCAUCUUCAGGAAUCGACCUCACCUAAGGCAAUUUAAAGGAGAACACUCUAAAAUGAGUUCUCCCCCUUUGUUUUAACCAAUCCCUUUCCACCAAUAAGGAGAAACUAAAUAAAAGUGGAUAUAAAUGAAAAAGUAGCAGUUCACUAAUUAGCAUAAUUGAAACAAUCAAAAAUCCCCAGUUCAUAAUCACUAGAUUCAGAAUUGCUAGAUCUCACAAAGCCCCCCAGAAAAAGAAGAAGCCCAAAACAGUGGAAAUAUCCCUUCCAAGAUGGCGUCUGCCACAGGGAGGCAAAGGGAAAAUGGCGUCCGACCCUCCCCUCAAGACAGCGGCCUUCAUAUGUGGCCAUGCGGUCUGAGAGACAAAGGGAAAGGGUGGCGGCAAACCCUCACAGGAAGGAGCUUACAGAGCAGUUCCAGUAGCAGAUGAGAAGAUCCGGCACGUGUGGGGUCAGCACUGCCGCCAGCCGCUUCCUCCUGCCGCCUACCGGACUCCAAGCGCUGCUGUCCCGGUGGCUGGGAGGGAAGAAACCGCCUGUCGGCACUGACGUGCAACGGCCCGACCCCUGGACUGCUCAAGAUUCACCAUGGCAUUUGAAAAGGUCACUGUGAAACAGUUUCUGGUUGGGAGAUGCAGCUUUGCCAAGUUGCUACUGUUGCGAGCCCACAAAAACCCAUCCUAAACACCCCCCUCUUUGGCAAAACUACAUCAGGCAAAGGCGGGCCCAAACGGGAAGCUUCUGCCCAGUCUACCUCAGCUGUAAGGCAAAAGUCAAGAAACAAGGGAGGCAAGAGGCGAGAGAGAGAACCGCAAGGCAAAACGGGCACUCUGGCUGAGUACUCUGACCUUGUUAAAGGGAGCAGCAUCCUUCUAACUGCACUGCCUUUCUGUGCCGCUGGCCCUAAAACACACAGUAACAGAACUUGUGCACAGAUAGAUAUGGAACAGAGUAUGCUUUUUGGUCACCCAGACACCUUCCCAGGUCUUGCUCACAGAAGGUGCCAGGAGGCAAUCCUCCAGCAUCAGGGGUCUGGCUGGCUCCUGUCUUUAACUUGGGACUCUGCAAGAGAAGGGAGUGAGUGCCUGUCAUUUCUACUGGGAUUUGGCCGUGCAAAUGCCUGCAGGGAAUCUUCCAGGGAGCAUGGAGCCUGGGCAAACACCCGUGAGAGUGCGGCUUUGGACUGUUGCAAAGGGGCCUUCUUUGGGCUUGACAUCUGCAGGGCAUUGCAGAGCCGUGGGCGGCAGGCUGCAGCCAGAGCUGCAACACAAGAAAACUGUGGCAGCCCAAGAAUCAGCGCACGGCUCUUCUGCAUGUUCUGA
Molecule: long non-coding RNA, 1325 nt
Filed under: Ficedula albicollis (Collared flycatcher)
Lineage: Eukaryota; Metazoa; Chordata; Aves; Passeriformes; Muscicapidae
Description: lncRNA (ENSFALG00000023688.1)
Source: RNAcentral